Molecule: non-coding RNA, 315 nt
Organism: Vicia faba (fava bean)
Lineage: Eukaryota; Viridiplantae; Streptophyta; Magnoliopsida; Fabales; Fabaceae
Source: the annotation of a GenBank genome assembly
AAAAAACCCUACGUUCUCAACCAUAGUACGAACUCACCUUUUUCUUUCCCAAAAUUCAUAAACUAUCUUCUUUCCCAACGACUUAAUUUGAACCACCUUCAUUGUUCUCUCCAUCGAGCUCAAAAACCUUCUUCUCUCCAUAAAACCAAAAUUCCAUUCACCAAAGCAAAAACCCUAAAACAAAAAUCAAUUGAAAUUGGAACGCAAAAGUCCCAAAUAUCCCAUAAAACCCUAAAGUUGAUUGAACCCAUAACUCGAGAAUCAAUUGAAACCAUAAAACCACUUUCACUCAUCUUUUUGUUAAUUCUGAAGUGA